RNAcentral lists this ribosomal RNA (301 nucleotides) under uncultured bacterium. RNAcentral describes it as "partial 16S ribosomal RNA". It matches the Rfam family "Bacterial small subunit ribosomal RNA", at positions 509 to 809 of the family's 1533-position model. The record is from RNAcentral.
CAGUCGCCACGGUAAUACGAAGGGUGCAAGCGUUAAUCGGAAUUACUGGGCGUAAAGCGCGCGUAGGCGGUGAGUUAAGUCUGCUGUGAAAUCCCCGGGCUCAACCUGGGAACGGCAGUGGAUACUGGCUCGCUAGAGUGUGUCAGAGGAUAGUGGAAUUUCCGGUGUAGCAGUGAAAUGCGUAGAGAUCGGAAGGAACAUCUGUGGCGAAGGCGACUAUCUGGGCCAACACUGACACUGAGGCACGAAAGCGUGGGGAGCAAACAGGAUUAGAUACCCCAGUAUCCCUGUCUCUUAUACA